CCCUUAGAUGUUCGGGGCCGCACGCGCGCUACACUGAAGGACUCAGCGUGUCUCUCCCCCUAUCCCGAAAGGGAUGGGCAACCCGUUGAACCUCCUUCGUGCUAGGGAUUGGGGUUUGCAAUUAUCCCCCAUGAACGAGGAAUUCCCAGUAAGCGCGAGUCAUCAGCUCGCGUUGAUUACGUCCCUGCCCUUUGUACACACCGCCCGUCGCUACUACCGAUUGGAUGGUUUAGUGAGACCCUCGGAUCGGUCCCGACUCGGGGUGGGCUUCUGCCCCGGUCGUGGUUUCGCCGAGAAGACGGUCAAACUUGACUAUCUAGAGGAAGGAAAAGUCGUAACA
RNAcentral lists this ribosomal RNA (340 nucleotides) under uncultured eukaryote. Its description in RNAcentral is "partial 18S ribosomal RNA". It matches the Rfam family "Eukaryotic small subunit ribosomal RNA", at positions 1470 to 1796 of the family's 1831-position model. The record is from RNAcentral.